CCUACGGGAGGCAGCAGUCGAGAAUCAUUCACAAUGGGGGAAACCCUGAUGGUGCGACGCCGCGUGGGGGAAUGAAGGUCUUCGGAUUGUAAACCCCUGUCAUGUGGGGGCAAAUUAAAAAGAUAGUACCACAAGGGGAAGAGACGGCUAACUCUGUGCCAGCAGCCGCGGUAAUACAGAGGUCUCAAGAGUUGUUCGGAAUCACUGGGCGUAAGGCGUGCGUAGGCUGUUUCGUAAGUCGUGUGUGAAAGGCGCGGGCUCAACCCGCGGACGGCACAUGAUACUGCGAGACUAGAGUAAUGGAGGGGGAACCGGAAUUCUCGGUGUAGCAGUGAAAUGCGUAGAUAUCGAGAGGAACACUCGUGGCGAAGGCGGGUUCCUGGACAUUAACUGACGCUGAGGCACGAAGGCCAGGGGAGCGAAAGGGAUUAGAUACCCUAGUAGUC
This 446-nucleotide ribosomal RNA is filed under the name uncultured bacterium. RNAcentral's name for it is "partial 16S ribosomal RNA". It matches the Rfam family "Bacterial small subunit ribosomal RNA", at positions 338 to 795 of the family's 1533-position model. The record is from RNAcentral.